AUUGAACGCUGGCGGCAUGCUUUACACAUGCAGGUCGAACGGUAACAGGCCGCAAGGUGCUGACGAGUGGCGAACGGGUGAGUAAUGCAUCGGAACGUGCCCAGUCGUGGGGGAUAACUACUCUAAAGAGUAGCUAAUACCGCAUACGAUCUAUGGAUGAAAGCGGGGGACCGUAAGGCCUCGCGCGAUUGGAUCGGCCGAUGUCAGAUUAGGUAGUUGGUGGGGUAAAGGCUCACCAAGCCAACGAUCUGUAGCUGGUCUGAGAGGACGACCAGCCACACUGGGACUGAGACACGGCCCAGACUCCUACGGGAGGCAGCAGUGGGGAAUUUUGGACAAUGGGCGCAAGCCUGAUCCAGCAAUGCCGCGUGCAGGAAGAAGGCCUUCGGGUUGUAAACUGCUUUUGUACGGAACGAAACGGCUCUGGUUAAUACCCGGGGCUAAUGACGGUACCGUAAGAAUAAGCACCGGCUAACUACGUG
This 482-nucleotide ribosomal RNA is filed under the name uncultured bacterium. Its description in RNAcentral is "partial 16S ribosomal RNA". It matches the Rfam family "Bacterial small subunit ribosomal RNA", at positions 30 to 507 of the family's 1533-position model. The record is from RNAcentral.